AGCCAGACUCCUACGGGAGGCAGCAGUGGGGAAUAUUGCACAAUGGGGGAAACCCUGAUGCAGCGACGCCGCGUGAGUGAAGAAGUCUUUCGGUAUGUAAAGCUCUAUCAGCAGGGAAGAUAAUGACGGUACCUGAGUAAGAAGCCCCGGCUAACUACGUGCCAGCAGCCGCGGUAAUGCGUAGGGGGCAAGCGUUAUCCGGAUUUACUGGGUGUAAAGGGAGCGUAGACGGCAUGGCAAGUCUGAAGUGAAAGCCCGGGGCUCAACCGCGGGACUGCUUUGGAAACUGUUAAGCUGGAGUGCAGGAGAGGUAAGUGGAAUUCCUAGUGUAGCGGUGAAAUGCGUAGAUAUUAGGAGGAACACCAGUGGCGAAGGCGACCUGCUAGAACAUAACUGACGCUGAUGCGCGAAAGCGUGGGGAGCAAACAGGAUUAGAUACCCGUGUG
RNAcentral lists this ribosomal RNA (446 nucleotides) under uncultured bacterium. RNAcentral describes it as "bacterial SSU rRNA". It matches the Rfam family "Bacterial small subunit ribosomal RNA", at positions 329 to 792 of the family's 1533-position model. The record is from RNAcentral.